This 468-nucleotide ribosomal RNA is filed under the name uncultured bacterium. Its description in RNAcentral is "partial 16S ribosomal RNA". It matches the Rfam family "Bacterial small subunit ribosomal RNA", at positions 28 to 507 of the family's 1533-position model. The record is from RNAcentral.
GACGAACGCUGGCGGCGCGCUUAACACAUGCAAGUCGAACGGAAAGGCCCUGCAUUUGUGGCGUGCUCGAGUGGCGAAGGGACGAGUAACACGUGAGUAACCUGCCCUUGACUUUGGGAUAACUCCAGGAAAAUGGGGCUAAUACCGGAUAGCAGCUCCUGAUGCAUGGCGGGGGUUGGAAAGCUUCGGCCGUUGGGGAUGGACUCGCGGCUUACCAGCUUGUUGGUGGGGUAGUGGCUUACCCAGGCUUCGACGGGUAGCCGGCCUGAGAAGGUGACCGCCCACAUUGGGACUGAGGUACGGCCCAGGCUCCUACGGGACGCAGCAGUGGGGAAUAUUCCACAAUGGGCGGAAGCGUGAUGCAGCAACGCCGCGUGCGGGAUGACGGCCGUCGGGUUGUAGACCGCUUUCGCCUGUGACGAAGCGUGAGUGACGGUAAUGGGUAAGGAAGCACCGGCUAACUACGUG